GGCAAAUCUCCAAAAGCCGUCCCAGUUCGGAUUGCAGGCUGCAACCCGCCUGCAUGAAGUUGGAAUCGCUAGUAAUCGCGGAUCAGCGUGCCGCGGUGAAUACGUUCCCGGGCCUUGUACACACCGCCCGUCACACCAUGAGAGUCGGGAACACCCGAAGUCCGUAGCCUAACCGCAAGGGGGGCGCGGCCGAAGGUGGGUUCGAUAAUUGGGGUGAAGUCGUAACAAGGUAAC
Molecule: ribosomal RNA, 234 nt
Filed under: uncultured bacterium
Lineage: Bacteria
Description: partial 16S ribosomal RNA
Rfam family: Bacterial small subunit ribosomal RNA
Source: RNAcentral